GUAAUAGUAAUGUUAUGUUCUUUCAUAGACAAUGUUGGAGCAAUACCAAGGCCUGAUACAUAGAACCUCUGUCAAUAAACGGGUUUCAACAUACAGCCUUUUGACUAUAUGCAGUGAUGCAUCAUUGACUGAUGAGAUAAUAAAUGUGUAUUUCCAGCUCAUAAAAAAAUGGUUUACAAUGGAUAUACAUAUUUUCAACACGUUCUUCUUUGCGGCUUUCUGUAAUAGAGACUAUAAAAGAAUCAAAAGAUGGAGGAGAAAGGUUGAUAAAUUUGCAAAGGAACUCGGCCUUUAUUAUAUAGUUAAGAAGCAUGGAAGCAAAAAAGGAAGCCCAUUAGAUAAAUCGAAAUGAAAAAUAUAUCAAAAAAAAGAUGUGCUCCAACAACGCAAUGGACAUGAUUGUGAGGUUUUUAUAUGUGCGUAUGCCUUAAAAUUAAGUCAUGGAGAGAAUUUUAAUUUCACCUAGAAUGACAUGGACAACUUCCGUCUUGACAUAUUAGAAGAUAUUUUCUCGAACAUCAUUCGCACAUCUAUAGAAGAAAGAUCGUCAGCAAUACAACCAGCAUAUUCAUCACAUCAAAAAGCAUCUUCGGAUUCUAUAAAAUAUGCCAUCAACAUUGAAGGUGCAUAUCUAUUACAGUUUGCUAAUUUUCAUCAACGAAGUAAAAAGAUAUUUUCGCAUAAUAAUAGAAACACACAGUACACAAGUAUAUGUGCGUAUGCAUUGUGCCAGCUUUCGUCGUAUGGAAAUAAUUAUACAGCUAUAUCACCUGAAAUAUUAGACGAAAUUUUGAUAGAAGGCGACAAAUGCUAUUUUCAAUGUCUAAGACAACGCGAGACGUCCAUUGAUACCAGUUUCCUUAAUGUUGAAGAACUCCAGCCAAUAUUCUUUGGUCAUUAUGAAGUCGUUAUUACUAUCCACGACAUUGGUUGAUUCUAACCCUUCUGAGACGUAUUGGCAAAUUUGUGAACUAAUUUUCAUGAAUUAUAUUAAUGACGGAAGCUGAUGAAAAAAGUUGAUAUAGUUGCUACGCUCAAUGGAAUUAGGAAAAAAUUGGACGGUAAAUAAUGGCGAAGACUUUUGUAGUGAGGAAGAAUGCUCAAUAAGCACGUUAACAUUGUGGUUCAUGUCAUUGAAGUUUAGGUUUUCGUGAACCUACAAAUGCGAAUUUUCAUGGUGGUGGUGGAGCAACUUCAAGAAAUUCAGAUAAAUCACCAUGCUUGUAUUAUUAGGCUCAUCUUGUUCUGCAACACCAGAAUUUUCAUCGCCUACUGCCCAAUAUUCUAUAGCUCCUUGUACCAAUCAAUCACCAGUGCCACUUAUGGGUUUCAAUGAAGAUAAUAUUUUCAUGCCUACACCCAGCACAGCUCAUCAUCCAACUUCGCUUAUUUCGCCUGGAACCAAAUGGAAACAUUCUCUAACAGCUCAGUCUAAUUCAAUUGUACAAUUUUUAAAAUUAGGUUUUCCAUAAUUAUAUAGUUAAGAAGCAUGGAACAAAAAAGUGGAACUGAUGUACCAUUACCUGCACUAAGUAGUGAAGAUGACAAGUAUUGGCAAGGCACUAUGAUGAAUCUAAAUAGAAAAAAUUCCACAGAUGGCACAAAGUAUCUUCUGGAUACCCGUCUCACCCUCCACUAUUACACAGUAAUGCAGUAUGCAAUUGGA
This 1666-nucleotide long non-coding RNA is filed under the name Chelonus insularis. Its description in RNAcentral is "uncharacterized LOC118070389, transcript variant X2". Lineage: Eukaryota; Metazoa; Arthropoda; Insecta; Hymenoptera; Braconidae. The record is from RNAcentral.